UACGUAGGGGGCUAGCGUUGUCCGGAUUUAUUGGGCGUAAAGAGCGUGUAGGCGGCCAGGUAGGUCUGCUGUGAAAACUCGAGGCUUAACCUCGAGAUGUCGGCGGAAACCAUCUGGCUAGAGUCCGGAAGAGGAGAGUGGAAUUCCUGGUGUAGCGGUGAAAUGCGCAGAUAUCAGGAAGAACACCCGUGGGGAAGGCGGCUCUCUGGGACGGUACUGACGCUGAGACGCGAAAGCGUGGGGAGCGAACAGG
RNAcentral lists this ribosomal RNA (253 nucleotides) under uncultured bacterium. RNAcentral describes it as "partial 16S ribosomal RNA". It matches the Rfam family "Bacterial small subunit ribosomal RNA", at positions 524 to 776 of the family's 1533-position model. The record is from RNAcentral.